RNAcentral lists this long non-coding RNA (568 nucleotides) under Homo sapiens (human). Its description in RNAcentral is "non-protein coding lnc-LRP5L-1:1". The record is from RNAcentral. Lineage: Eukaryota; Metazoa; Chordata; Mammalia; Primates; Hominidae.
GGCGGCGUGGGGACCAGCGCGGGCCGGGGCAGCUGGUACCUGGGAUCGGGCAGGACGGUCCUCUUGCUGGCGCGGGCGGCCGGAGUCGCCUUGCUCUUCUCCAUGGCCAUCAGGUAAUGAUGAAGCCCCUGCUCUGGUCCAAGCUACCUGUGAACAGCGCCCAGCGGGCCGGGCCCCCAACCUCGCUCCUGAACGUACCCGCAAGCCCGCCGUGAGAAUUCAGCGAAGAGUAAAGGCUGGAGAAAGUUGCGUGUCUCAGGCUAAGCAGAGCAAAGUGGGGUGAGGGCUUCGCCGCUAGGAACAGAGAUGCCCUUAGGGAGCCCCCUGAUGGAAGAGCUCUCUGCUUAAGAAGGUCAGCACGCCCUUACACUCAGGUGAGAGGUUUUAGUUUGGGUGUUGAAAUAGAAGGAGAGAGAGUAUUCCUGCCCUUAGGGUUUUACGGUCAAUACAAGAGACAAUUAGGGAGCAUCUGCUGCGAGCACGCUCGCACCACGAGGGUGAUUUAGGGAAGUGGAAAAGCAAGAUACAGCCCAAACACCGAAGCUGGGGGGUAAUUUCCAGCUUCCCA